RNAcentral lists this ribosomal RNA (433 nucleotides) under uncultured bacterium. RNAcentral's name for it is "partial 16S ribosomal RNA". It matches the Rfam family "Bacterial small subunit ribosomal RNA", at positions 29 to 507 of the family's 1533-position model. The record is from RNAcentral.
AACGAACGCUGGCGGCAUGCCUAACACAUGCAAGUCGAACGAGACCUUCGGGUCUAGUGGCGCACGGGUGCGUAACGCGUGGGAACCUGCCCUUAGGUUCGGAAUAACUCCCCGAAAGGGGUGCUAAUACCGGAUAAUGUCUUCGGACCAAAGAUUUAUCGCCUUUGGAUGGGCCCGCGUUGGAUUAGCUAGUUGGUAGGGUAAAAGCCUACCAAGGCGACGAUCCAUAGCUGGUCUGAGAGGAUGAUCGGCCACACUGGGACUGAGACACGGCCCAGACUCCUACGGGAGGCAGCAGUGGGGGAUAUUGGACAAUGGGCGAAAGCCUGAUCCAGCAAUGCCGCGUGAGUGAUGAAGGCCUUAGGGUUGUAAAGCUCUUUUACCCGGGAUGAUAAUGACAGUACCGGGAGAAUAAGCUCCGGCUAACUCCGUG